CACCAUUCGCUUACGCCGGCUAGGGAAUAGCUAGGCUUUGGUAAGGACGAAGGUCGUGGCAAGCAGCGAUAUGCCCGGGCGAGGCGCAUGCAGCCCUAGAACCCGGGAUUACUGAAUGCGACUUCGUGUCUUUUUCGGAAGGCAUUCCUUUUUAGGAAGCACAACCCGCUGAAUUGAAGCAUCUUAGUAGGCGGAGGAAAAGAAAGAAAUUCGAUGCCGUUAGUAAAGGCGAUCGAAAGCGGCUCAGAGCAAACCGAAUUCCUUGCGGAAACGCAAGGUAUAUGUGGCGCCUGGUACGGCCCAGCCAGCCCACUUGAAGUCUCCUGAAAUGGAGCACCGGAGAGGGUUAAAGUCCCGUAGAAGGAAGCAGGAAGGUCGAUUCCAAGCAAGAGAGUACUGUCCCUCGGAUAUGGGGCAGGAAUAUGGGAGGUAUCAAUUCCCAACUCUAAAUAUUACCAAAGACCGAUAGCGAACUAGUAUGGUGACAGAAAGUUGAAAAGAACCCGUGACAGGGAUUGAAAAGAGCUUGAAUCUAGUCGGCUAUAGUCAGGUACGGCCCGAAAGGAAUGAAGCCUCUUGAAGGAAUAUGCGGUGACGCAUUAGUACGAGAGAGGUGAACUAGGGUCGUGCUGUUCGUUUCGAAGAACGAGACAGGGAGUUUAUUUUCAUGGCGAGGUUAAAGCAGUAAUGCUGGAGCCACAGCGAAAGCGACAAGCCCGCAAACUGGAACUAGACGCAUACUCUGUAUGCGUCGGUCCUCUCGAGGGGCGCCGUACGAAAGUGCGGGAAGUCAUGGGGAUAAGACCCGAAGCGCGACGAUCUAUUCCUGGGUAGGGUGAAGUCGGGGGAAACCCCGAUGGAGGCCCGUUACCGGAGCUACUCCAACGUGUCCGGGUGACCCGGGUAUAGGGGUGAAAUUCAAGAACGGUAUUCUUGAUUUGCUGUUCUUAGAACACCAAAAGCCAAUCGAGUUGCGUGAUAUCCUUUGGGUGGCUAGAGUAGACACUAAUCUUUAUAAUUCAUAAAAUUCUCUUCCAUUUUUAGACCAAUUAGAAAAAGAGAACAGCUCAAUAAUUUAAUGUCUGCUCUUACGCCCUAGGGACACGAUAGCUGGUUCCUUCCGAAAUGAAUCUCAGUUCAGCCUGACCGGAGGCAGAUGGCAGGGUAAAGCACUGAUUGGGAAGUCAAGGGGAGAAAUCCUCAGCUUCGCUGUCAAACUCAUAAUCUGUCAUCGCUGCAGAUGGUCGGAGUGCGGGUGCACGGAUUAAGUUCUGUACCCGAAAGGGGAACAACCCAGACUGGGGUUAAGGUCCCCAAAUGUUGGCUAAGUCACAAAGGUUGUCUUCAACCAUAAACAGCGGGGAGGUUGGCUUAGAAGCAGCCACCCUUCAAAGAAAGCGUAAUAGCUCACCCGUCUAGGUUGUGGGCGCCGAAGAUGGACGGGAGUAAGUCAACUACCGAUACCCCAGAUCGAGAGAUAGUAGGAAGGCGUUCCGUGGGGGCAGAAGCAGGGUCGUGAGGUCCUGUGGACCGCAUGGAAACGAAUAUCCUGUUAUUAGUAGCAGCAAAGUCGGGUGAGACGCCCGACCACCGGAAGAGCAAGGGUUCCCCGGCCAUGAUUAUCAGCCGGGGGUAAGUCGGUCCUAAACCAAGCGUUAACCUAGCUUGGUGAAAGGGAAGCAGGUUAAUAUUCCUGUGCCACCUUGGGUCACUAUCAGUAUCUGACGGUUCGGGAUAGGCUUUGUGAGGUCGUCGCCUCACCGAGCUGGGCAAGCCUCUGGAAAUUCGUAAAGAACAGAAGGAGGUGAACCCGGCAAGGCUUCCCUUAUGGGGAGUUUGGCUGAUUCCUGGACCCCCUGAAAAGGAUUCUGAACUAUCCCUUGGUGUCCGUACCCAAAACCGACACAGGUGCUCUCGCUGAGAAGGCGAAGGUGUUGAAACAACCCAGGUUAGGGAAUUCGGCAAGUUAGUCCCGUAUCUUUGGUAGGAGGGAUGCCUGCGCUCUCUUUAAUGGGAAGCGCAGGUCGCAGUGACAAAGGGGGCCCGACUGUUUAACAAAAACGUAACCGGCUGCUAGAGAGAAAUCUUGUGUAUAGCCGGCGAGGUCUGCCCAGUGCCGGUAUGUUAAACCCUGUUUCAACGGGGCUAAGCACCGGUAAACGGCGGCGAUAACUCUGAUCGUCUUAAGGUAGCGUAAUCCCUUGUCGAUUGAAUGUCGACCUGCAUGAAGGGCUUAACGAGGUCCCCGCUGUCCCAACCUGGAGUUCAGCGAACUUGCUGUUCAGGGGAAUGGGCCUGAGACUCCUAGUGGGAAGUAGAGUCCCCGUAGAUGGAAGAAGGAUAAGACAAAACUCAUUGUUCAGCGGACAUAUUCUCCCUUUCGCCUUGCGAGACGAAAGUUAGAUAAGUCCGCUUCACGAACAAUGAACCAUGAAAAUUAAAAAUUUUCAAAUUAAAAAUUUGAAAGAGAAAGAACUUUUGGCAUACGAGACGGGACUCCAUUUAGGAGACGGAUCCUUACAAUUAGACAGAAAAAACAAGGUAUAUAGAACAAUAUAUUCCGGCCAUUCAAUUGACGACAGAAAUUUCUACGAAUUUUUGGUCCCUGGAAUACUAAGGAAAAUAUACAAAAAAGAACCAUGUGUUUACUUUAGAAGAAAUGAAAACACCAUAGUAGUUCAUUUGAAUUCCAAAAGUGCUGUAGAAAAGAAAAUAAAAAUAGGUUUGCCUGUUGGAAAUAAGUUAAAGCUAAAGGAAAUUCCAAGCUGGAUAAAAGGUGACUUGGUAAAUCAUUUCUUGAGAGGUCUUGCAGAUGCAGACUUCACAGUCACCUUCAAGAAAAACAGAAAAGGAAUUCACAACGAGCCGAGAAUUGAGUUCUUUACCAAUAACAAGGUAAUCCAUAAAUUCGCUUUGCAAAAGUUAAUUCAACUUGGUUUCAAAGUUUCAAGCGAGGAAACAUAUCAGAGAGUUUUUAGAGACUACAGGAUAAGAAUUUACGGUAAGGAGAUGUUAAAUAAAUGGAUAGAUGAAAUUGGUUUUUUAAACGAAAAGCAUUUGCCUAAAAUCAUACUUUUUAAAAAUCAUGGCAAUUGUCCACCUCAUCUCAGUACAAACGAAAGAAUGAGGCUUGCUCUUUCUUCCAACGGUUAGCUUUACUGUAGCUUGAUGCUGUGAUAGGGUUUCGGUUGUAUAGCGUAAGUAGGAGACGCUAAAGCCUGGACGCCAGUCCAGGUGUAGUCAACAAAGAUUUGACGUGCAUCUUCAAUGCGCGUCGGUCGUUGAAUGUAACACUACUCUUUCGAAAACCUAUUGCUUACAGGGAGACCUGGACAACAUCAGGUGGACAGUUUGACUGGGGCAUGUGCGAGAGGCGUUAAUGAAGUGCAUCUUUCAUCUUCUGAUUUUUGGAAAAUCCAAAAGAGGGAGAUGUCGUCUCAGAAACAAGACUCUCUUCAAGAAAUCCAACCAAGUGAAGAAAUCUCUUUAGAUUUUCUCUGUCAGUAAUAAGCAGUUUGUUACCAGAAGUCCUGCAUUUUAUCCCCAAGACAUCUAAACAUUUCACUAAAUCUGAAAUGAGUUUUGGGUGAUAACACCGAACCUCAAGACGGUUUAUCGAAUAUUUCGGAUUCGAGUAAAAUGAACCGUCACAGGAUACAUAAGAACGUAGGAACUCUGCAGAAAAUAUUUUAGAGUUUUUUAUUUCAUCUGGAACUUUGCAAGUAGGAUAAUUUCCAUUUUCAUACCUUAAAGUUCUGUAAGUUGGAGAGAAAGUGAAAAGAAAUUCAGCAAUUCUCUUGGAAAAGAAUCUUAUGGAAAUGGCAUUUUUGCAGCGAUUUUCAUGAAAAUUCUCAAUUCCAAAUAAAUCAGUGGAAAGCGAUUUGAAAUAAUCUCUCAUUGAAGGGAUUUUGUUUGUAAACUGGACACAAAAAGUCUGCUUACUCUUGUCGUAGUAAACAGAACCAUCAGACAAAAGUAAACCAAUGAAUGAACUAAGUUUUUUGUUCAUUGAAAAACUUUUGUUUUUCAUGUUUACUUUUUUGCGAAGCGGACUUAUCUAACUUUCGUCCCGCAAGGCGAAAGGGAGAAUAUGUCCGCUGAUGCACCGAAGGCUUCCGUGCACCCAAAGGUACGCCGUUGAAAUGGUAUCAACGGUGCCCAAAGAUCAGCUCCGGAGGGUCAGAAAUCCUCCUUAGAGUGUAAGGGCAAAAGCUGGUUUGACUGAAUCCUGAACAUCGAGGGAUUCAGAGGCGAAAGCCGGGCCUAACGAAAUCCUGAAGCUCAUUGAUAACUUGGCGCACUAAAGCGCCGGUCGAUUAAGGGCUCAGGGAUGUCAGAAAAGCUACCUCAGGGAUAACCGGAUCGUAGCGGCCGAAAGCCCCUAUUGACGCCGCGUGUUGUUAUCGGUGUGAGUCGCUCUUCCCGCAUAUCUUUUUCAGCAUCCAUAUUCUUCCUUUCGUUCAAUGAAAUUGGUUUAAGAACGAAAGUUAGAUAAGGAUGCUUCAAGUAAAUUAAAUCAGUGAUUUAAUGAAACUCAAUCCAUACGAAAUUGGCAAAUGGACAGGAGAUAGAGUAGGAUUUCCUAGAGUAGGGAUAGUAAAUAAAUCCUUAAAUUUGGUUCAAGAUACAUUUUAUUUUCUCAGGGAUAUCGUUGAUGAAAGUAGAAUUAGUUUUGAAAUACAAGUAAAGAAAAAAUUAGAUACAGCAAAAAUAAAAGAAAAUUUACCCUCAGAAGUUCUAAGCAAAAUGAAAAUAGCAGAAGUAAAUUCAAUGUACGGAAAAUAUGCUUUUAGGGUCUACACACAAAGUCGGACUAUUUUCAGAGAAUUUCAAAAAUACAGCGAUAACAUAUUAAGAAAGAAUAAGACAGAAAUUGCAAAAUUUCUUGCAGGAUUUUCAGAUGCAGAAGGAACUAUAGACAAGAGAAAUCUUGUAAUAAAAUUAAGUUUCGGAUGCGAGAAAAAGGAAGAAAUACAAAGGAUAAAGAAAGCCUUUGAGAUUUUAAGUUUCGAACCUUUAAUAAUAAAGGCAGGAAAGAGAGAAAAUAAAAUAGUAAUUAAAAAUAUCAAAAAAUUUGAUUUAAAAAUAGGAAAAUUUAUGAGACACGAAGACAAAGUUAAGAGACUUAACGAUAUCAAAGAAAAUAAGUUUUUCUUGGAAAAAGACAAAGAAAUUUUGGAUUACAUAAGAAAAAAUCCUUUUUGUACAUCAAGAGAAAUUUCUCAGGUUUUCAAUUUUCAUGUUGAUUCCAUUAGAAGAAUUUUAAGACUUUUGAGAAAACAGGACCUUUUAGAAAUUAAAGGAAACGGAGUAUUUGGUAAUCCUUUUAGAUAUGCGGUGAAGUAGGCUCUACCGACAAUAUACAUCGUUGUCGGCUCGCCUUCUCCUGGCUGUGCAGCAAAACCUUUUUGCACAAGGUAAACGUGCAAAAACGUUUACGAAAAAUCAGCUUCCGCGUAAAAGCGGGAGGGGGUUCUGCAUGCAGCCAAGGGUAGAGGUGUUCACUCAUCAAAAAGGCACGUUAGCUGGGUUCAGAACGUCGUGAGACAGUUUGGUCAAUAUCUACUAGGAGUGUUGGUUGUCUGAGGGUAAAGGAGGAUCAGUACGAAAGGAACAUCCGCCUGGGGCCUCUGGUGUAUCGGUUGUCUGACAAACAAUGCCAGAUAAACAAAAGUACUGUUUGUAUUUUUUGUCUGGCAUUGGUCAAAGGCACUGCCGAGUAGCUACGCCCUACGCCGAUAAGGGCUGAAGGCAUCUAAGCUCGAAGCGGCCCCCAAAAAGAGACAGCCUAGGUUCCCGUAGACGACGGGUUUGAUAGGCUGGGGAUGUAAGCUGGAAGCUUCGGCGACCAGUUCAGUCUACCAGUACUAAUCACCAUUUUCGGAGUUCC
RNAcentral lists this ribosomal RNA (5890 nucleotides) under archaeon. Its description in RNAcentral is "23S ribosomal RNA". It matches the Rfam family "Archaeal large subunit ribosomal RNA". The record is from RNAcentral.